AACCUAGCACACCUGCGGUGUGUACCUGCGGAGGGAUCAUUAAUGAGAAACUGCCCCUCGCGGGUAGAUCUCCCACCCUUUGUAAACUUACCUUUGUUGCUUUGGCAGGCCCGUCUCCGGACCGCCGGCUUCGGCUGGCCAGUGCCUGCCAGAGGAUUCUAAAACUCUGUCUGUCAGUGUUGUCUGAGUCUAUAUACAAUCGUUAAAACUUUCAACAAUGGAUCUCAGAUCGGAAGAGCA
Molecule: unclassified non-coding RNA, 240 nt
Filed under: soil metagenome
Description: partial contains 5.8S ribosomal RNA, internal transcribed spacer 2, and large subunit ribosomal RNA
Source: RNAcentral